GCUAAGUGGAAUUUACUUGAGAGGUGGUUCUUCCACAGCAAACGUUCUUGUAACUGCUUUUAGGACAUUUUUUUUGGGGGGGGGUCUUCUCAUUAACCCCUCCUUAAACGCAUGAACGGAGCGUUCAAAUAGCGAGGAGAUUUAGAUUUCCCUCUGUAUUCAUUUAGAUGAUGAAUUGUAAUGGCUCGAUAGUUCCUCUGGAACCAUUAUAGUCAAUCAGGUCAAAAUCCAGCUCGGAAGAGGUGGGGUUAAACUCCGGAGGUAGGUAACAGCAACCUUACCGCCUCUAAAAAUGUUCAAGCCAGCUAAGGUUCUGAGACUAGAAACCAAUGGAUGCUACAGCGGAUGUUUAUUGUUGUGACAGUGACAGACAAGUAACAAACUGAAAGGGAAAGUGAACACCAUUUCCCCAGGCAUUUCCCGCGUCCCAAGUUCCUUGUGGUUGUCCUAGCAUCUUCUCACUGGCAAUAGACAGAACAAGACACACACGUGGGAAGUGAGUGCAGCAGAAUAGACCUGGUGUUGUUGCAGUGGAGUUGGGUGAGGUCGUGAUGGAACCCUGGAUUAAAAUCACCAACCACACCUGCGGCCCUGGUGCAGGACCUGCAACGGACGCUUGAGGAAGGAGCACUCCAGGAUUCAUCUCUCCUGCAAACAACUUUCUCCAUAAAUGACUCUAUUCUUUGAUUGAUGUGUAAAUUCAGAGCUGGAGGGGGGAGUUGCACCUUCCCUUGGAGGCUGUAUAACCAGAAGCAGAGUCACUGGCAUCCAAUGAGGCAUGACACUUGAGGUCUUGAGGAGGCCAAAUUGUACCUUGGUAGAUGUCUGUCUCCUGUAAAGUGUUUGGUCAUGAAGAUACACACAGCCGGCUAAAAGGGGCUCACCACUCAGGAAGCUCUAUAUUAACACUGGAAGAUGGUCAAGCCCUCUCAUGCCCCCACCCUAAUGGCUACCUCUUGGCAGACAAUAUGGGCUACAUUACAUGUCUUCAGUUCUGA
RNAcentral lists this long non-coding RNA (998 nucleotides) under Cricetulus griseus (Chinese hamster). RNAcentral's name for it is "lncRNA (ENSCGRG00000025461.1)". Lineage: Eukaryota; Metazoa; Chordata; Mammalia; Rodentia; Cricetidae. The record is from RNAcentral.